GCUUACGACCACACCGGCCUGAGUACGCCUGAUCUCGGAAGCUAAGCAAGGUCAGGCCUGGUUAGUACUUGGAUGGGAGACCGCCUGGGAAUACCAGGUGCUGUAAGCU
Molecule: ribosomal RNA, 109 nt
Organism: Oncorhynchus kisutch (coho salmon)
Lineage: Eukaryota; Metazoa; Chordata; Actinopteri; Salmoniformes; Salmonidae
Source: Ensembl